GAGAUAUUACUAUUGGAAUUGAUGACAAGAAAAAGGCCAUUAGAUAUCAUGUUUGAGGGAAACAUGAAUCUACAUAACUUUGCGAGAACUGUCUUACCUGAUCAUGUGAUGGAUAUUGUGGAUUCAACACUUCUAGCUGAUGAUUGUUACAGAGCAUGGUCAGAGCUGUGAGGAUGAGCACACUUGAUUACUUCCUAGCUGACGUGUACAGUUAGUUAGCUGAGUCAGCUCCAUUGUUAACAAACUAGUUUAGUGUGUAUAGCAGAAAUAACAGACUUGGUUUACUUUCUAACUAAGUAUAAAUACAGAGCUUUGAGCGCGAUUGUAAGAUUGAGUUUGUUACUAAUAAAUUCCAGAUUCUUCUUUAUAUUUUCCUUCACUUUCUCAUUGAUUUUCUUACUCUCCAAACACACAAAUAUAAACUCUUUCAUGGUAUCAAAGCAAACAAUGAUGAGCUCCAAUCAAACCUCAGGUUCUUAUAGUUUUGUUACUCCUGUUAAACUCGAUCAGAAUAACUUCAUUGUUUGGAGAACUCAGAUUUUAACGACGAUUAAAGGUAACGGCUUGGAAAGUUUCAUCAAUGGUGACCGAGCUUGUCCAGAGCAAUUUCUUUCAUCAACUGACACUGGAGUUUUUUAUUCAACCAGAUCAGAGGAUCAUGAAAUAAAUCCAGAGUAUUUAGCUUGGGUGAAGACUGAUCAAUUGAUCCUGAGUUGGAUGAUGUCAUCCAUUCAACAAAACCUACUAGCAACGGUGAUUCAUUGCUCCACUGCUAAAGAGCUUCUGGAUAUGCUUACUAGUAUGUUUAUCUUGCAAUCUCAGGCUAGAAUAAUGCCUCUUAAGAUGCAGAUUCAAACACUUAAAAAAGGUUCAAUGUUUAUGAUUGAUUACUUUGCUAAAAUGAAAAAGUUAUCUAAUAGCUUAGCUUUAGCUGAAAAACCUGUUGAAUUGAACGACUUUAUUCAAUAUGUUUUGACUGGACUGGAUUCCUCAGACUAUGAGUCUCUUGUUACGAGUGUCUUAGCUAGAGGUGAUAAGAUUAAUCUUGAUGAGUUUUAUUCCGUACUGUUAAGUCAUGAAAAUAGAGUUGAGCAAAAGAAAGGCAAAAUUGCUAGUGAUGUUACUCAUAAUUUGUCAGCUAAUAUGGCUCAAAAGCAAUUUAAUUCUGGAAAAAAUGCUGGUGGUAAUCCAAAAUAUAAUAAUGGAACUUAUUGAGGAGGUGUCUAUGGAAGUUUUGCUAAUGAAAAUGGUAUGGGACAAUCGGGUGAUGUUAAUUCAACUAUAGUUUGCCAAAUCUGUUUUAUACCGGGUCAUGGAGCUCACAGGUGCAAGAACAGGUAUAACUCUGCUUUUGUACCUUCAAGGAAUCAAGCUAGAGGAAAUUUUAAUAGUAAUUUUAGGCCUGGUCAAAGAAAUUUUGGAAGAGGAUUUGGAAAUCUAGGUGGUAGAUUUUUUAAUGAUGCUUAUGGCAGAGGGUUUAAUCCUCAUUUUGGCAAUGCUUUUACUCAUCCUAAUGCUGGAAAUUUUAAUCUGCCAAGAGGUCCUGGAUAUGAAAGCUAUGUGAUGUACUCAGAUCCAGCUGCAUUUUAUGUUACUCAUCCUGGUAGUUCCACUGGUGCAAGUUCUUCUGCAUCUGGUUUUGGUUUUUCUGGAGAUUACAAUGGUUGUUCUCCUUCUGCUCCCAUAGUUCAUGCUCCUGAAAUGGUUGAAGAUCCUACCUAGUACAUUGAUAGUGGAGCUACUAAUCACAUCACUAAUGAUGCAGGUAAACUUCUUGAACCAAAAACUUAUAGUGGAAGUGAAAAAAUGCUUGUUGGUAAUGGUUCUUUUCUACCUAUUAAACAAAUUGGAUCAGUAUUGCUAGCUACAACUGCACAUGAACCCUUGGUACUAAGUCAUGUUCUUUAUGUUCUUCAAAUAACAAAAAAUUUACUUAGUGUCUCCAAACUUCUAGCUGAUAAUAAUGUCAUUAUUGAGUUUCUUGCAAAUUGUUGUUUUGUUAAUGCUAGGAGCUCAGGGACCAUCUUGCUUAGAGGAAUUACAAAAGGAGGAUUGUAUCAAGUCCAGAUUGCAUCUCAAUCCUCUGCUGAUUGCUCAGCUUUGUUCUGUCAACCUUCUUCCAAUCAAUUUGAGUUUAUAUUUGCUUAUUGUCCUUCUUUGUCCUGUAAUAGUUCUGAUGUCCUGAAUAAUUCUUUUCUUGUCAAUAAUAACUCAUGUAAGUUAGCUUUAAUAGCUAAUACAAGCACUGCUGACAUUAAUCUGCUUCACAAAAGGCUAGGACAUCCAGCUUUUCAUACACUAAAAAAUGUACUAAAGGAUUAUACUGAUUUUACCUUGAAUAAAACCAAACACUUGGAUUUCUGUAAUGCCUGUCAAUUUGGUAAAAGUCAUAUGUUACACUUUGACUCUGUUCUAACAAAAACAAUAGAGCCUCUUCAACUUUUGUAUGCUGACCUUUGGGGUCCUUCUCAUGUUACUUCAACUCAGGGUUAUUCCUAUUAUCUGUCAAUUUUAGAUGAUUUCAGCAGGUUUACUUGGAUGUUUCCCUUGAUUGCUAAAUCAGAUGCCCUUCAAGUGUUCAUAACCUUCAAAAUUUCAUUGAAAAACACUUGCAUAAGCACAUCAAAACUGUUCAAACAUAUUGGGGUGGGGAAUUUAGAAGUUUUUCUACCUAUCUUGCUCAGUUGGUAUUCAAUUCAGACACCCUUGUCCUUAUAUUCACCAUUAAAAUUGUAGAAUAGAAAGGAAACAUAGGCAUAUUGUCGAUAUUGGUCUCACCUUGUUAGCUCAAGCAAGUUUGCCACUGAAAUUCUGGUGGAGUGCUUUUCAUACAAUUGUUUUUCUUAUCAAUAGGCUACUUACCCUAACCUUGAAUAAUAUUUCACCUUAUCAAAAACUCUUUCAUCAAAAGCCUGAUUAUAAUUUUCUCAUAACCUUUGGAUGUGCCAGUUAUCCUUAUCUCAGGCCAUAUAAUAGACACAAACUUGAGUUUAGAAUAGGUAAAUGUGUCUUCAUUGGGUACAGCUCUCAACAUAAAGGGUACCAAUGUCUUCAUUCUUCUGGAAGGGUGUACAUCUCCAAUCAUGUCAUCUUUGAUGAAAAUUCAUUCAUAUAUAUGUCUGGUUCAGACUUUUCUUCUGUCACACAGUCGUGUACCUCAACUGACACAGUUUCCAAUUCCUCCACUGUGUCUACUCCUUCUUUUACUCAUUUUCCAGUACUGCAAUCUCCUCUGCAACCUUUUCAGCAAGUGGUUCCUCAGAGCCUUCAACAACAACUCCUAGCCAGGUAAAUUCACCUUCUUCUUCUCAUACACAACAAUUAUUUGAUGUUUCAUUUUCAAAUGACACUCAAUCACCACCACAUAUAAUACCAGCUGCACCACCAGUAGGACAUCCUAUGAUCACCCGAUCCAAAACUGGUGUUUUCAAGCUAAAAUCUUAUCUUGCUGUUAUUUUAGCCACACCCUCAGAACCUACCUCUGUUUCCCAAGAAAUUACUGAUCCAAAAUGGUUUAAGGCAAUGCAAGAGGAGUAUCAAGCACUUCAAAGCAAUCAUACCUGAGAUUUGGUAUUACCAUCAACACCUGUCAAAGUAAUUGGGUAGCAAGUGGGUUUUCAGAAUUAAAUAUAACUUAGAUGGAAAUAUCUUUAGAUAGAAAGCAAAACUUGUGGCAAAAGGUUUCCAUCAGACACAUGGAAUAGAUUAUACAGAAACAUACAGUCCAGUUGUGAAAGCCUCAACAGUUAGAAUAGUUCUGAGUUUAGUUGUUAUGAACAAAUGGAUUCUCAGACAAGUAGAUGUAAACAAUGCAUUCUUAAAUGAUUUUUUGGCUGAAGAUGUGUACAUGGUACAGCCUGAAGGAUUUGUUGAUUCUACAAAGCCUACUCAUGUCUAUAAACUCAAGAAGGCUAUGUAUAGACUAAAGCAAGCCCCCCGAGCAUGGUUUGACAAGUUCAAAAAUGCUAUGGUGGAUCAGUGGAGCUUUCUAAACUCAAAGUCUGACAUCUCUCUCUUCUAUAAGUGGGAAAAUAGUCAUAUCUUACUUGUCUUAGUUUAUGUUGAUGAUAUAAUUGUUACUGGUUCUAACUAUCAGCUAGUGCGGCAAGUUAUUCACAAUAUGCAGACUACUUUUGCUUUAAAAGAUUUGGGGGAGUUAAGCUAUUUUCUUGGGAUUGAAGUUUCAAAUACAACAGUUGGAGUUCAUCUAUCUCAAGCAAAAUAUAUAGCUGAUCUCUUAGCAAAACAUGAAAUAACAUUGCAGUCCAGUUCCUACUCCUAUGUCCACAGGGCAUCAUCUUAGAAAAGAGUCAGGCUUACCUAUUUCUAAUGCUUCUCAGUAUAGAAGUAUAAUUGGGGCCUUGCAGUAUGUGACUUUAACAAGACUUGAGAUGGCAUUCUCAAUUAAUAAACUUAGUCAAUUAUUAUCCUCACCAAUGACAGAACAUUAAGAAGCAUGUAAAAGACUCUUGAGGUAUUUGAAGGGAUCUAUUCACUUUGGCCUGCAUUUUUAUCAUUGUGGAACCUUACAAGUGAACUGUUUUAGUGAUUUUGAUUGGGCUUGUGGCAAAGAUGAUAGAAAAUCAGUAGCUAGGUAUGCAAUGUAUCUUGGUUUGAAUUUAGUUUCAUGGUGUUCCAAGAAACAACAAGUUGUUUCAAGAUCCAGUACUGAAGCUGAGUACAGAGCCUUAGCUCACGCUACUUCUGAAGUUGUUUAGAUUGAAACUCUACUUGGUGAGUUGAAAAUUAAACUUGUUGCAGCACCUAUUAUGUGGUGUGAUAAUCAAGGUGCCAUAGCUUUGGAUUAUAAUCCAGUUUAUCAUGCUAAAACUAAGCAUGUUGAGUUGGAUAUCCAUUUUAUCAAGGAGAAAGUAGCAGCCAAAAAGAUUGAUGUGCAAUUUGUUCCAAGUGAAGACCAAACUGCAGACAUACUUACCAAGCCACUGACUUUUGAUCGUUUUCAUUAUCUUCGCAGCAAGCUAAAUGUCCAUCCUGGACAGUUUAGGUUGAGGGGGAUGUUACAGAGCAUGGUCAGAGCUGUGAGGAUGAGCACACUUGAUUACUUCCUAGCUGACGUGUAAUAGUUAGUUAGCUGAGUCAGCUCCAUUGUUAACAAACUGGUUUACCGUGUAUAGCAGAAAUAACAGACUUGGUUUACUUUCUAACUAAGUAUAAAUACAGAGCUUUGAGCAUGAUUGUAGAUUGAGUUUGUUACUAAUAAAUUCCAGAUUCUUCUUUAUAUUUUCCUUCACUUUCUCAUUGAUUUUCUUACUCUCCAAACACAUAAAUAUAAACUCUUUCAAUGAUGAAGAUUUGACUAUUACCAGUAAUAAGAGGCAGAGGCAAGCAAGAAUCAAUAACAUCAUAGAAUGUCUC
RNAcentral lists this long non-coding RNA (5376 nucleotides) under Citrus maxima (pomelo). RNAcentral describes it as "long non-coding RNA (CMAX_LNC003014)". The record is from RNAcentral. Lineage: Eukaryota; Viridiplantae; Streptophyta; Magnoliopsida; Sapindales; Rutaceae.